Molecule: ribosomal RNA, 301 nt
Filed under: uncultured bacterium
Lineage: Bacteria
Description: partial 16S ribosomal RNA
Rfam family: Bacterial small subunit ribosomal RNA
Source: RNAcentral
CAGCAGCCACGGGAAUACGUAGGUGGCAAGCGUUGUCCGGAAUUAUUGGGCGUAAAGGGCUCGCAGGCGGUUUCUUAAGUCUGAUGUGAAAGCCCACGGCUCAACCGUGGAGGGUCAUUGGAAACUGGAAAACUUGAGUGCAGAAGAGGAAAGUGGAAUUCCAUGUGUAGCGGUGAAAUGCGCAGAGAUAUGGAGGAACACCAGUGGCGAAGGCGACUUUCUGGUCUGUAACUGACGCUGAUGUGCGAAAGCGUGGGGAUCAAACAGGAUUAGAGACCCCUGUAGUCCCUGUCUCUUAUAC